RNAcentral lists this ribosomal RNA (624 nucleotides) under Triticum aestivum (bread wheat). RNAcentral's name for it is "partial small subunit ribosomal RNA". Lineage: Eukaryota; Viridiplantae; Streptophyta; Magnoliopsida; Poales; Poaceae. The record is from RNAcentral.
AUGAAGCGAACAGAUAGACCUGCAAUGGAAAAACAAUAUGCCCGACAAAAGGAAGAGUCACAACGCAGGAUACUACUUUCCUUCUCUGAGAAACCUUCAAAGAUAACAUUGCCACAAUAUGCAUCAGGGGACGCGUUGAUGGAGAUCCAGAGGUCAAUUCUGGAACUAGAUCAGGUUGCUAAGGCAAAUGUACUGGAUCUUCAGGAGGCAAUACUGGGACUGGAUCGGAUUCUUAAGGCAUCUAGGACAAGUUUUGCUCUUCUUGCAUUUGGGCUUCCUCUUCUACUAUUCUUUCGAGUGCUGACACUGGUAACACAUGUCCAGAGUGCAGAGGGAAUAGAUAGCAUUGGGGAGCUUCUUGUACUUGCACAGCGAAGGUUUUUGGAAUUUAAAGAAUCCAAUGUUAAUGGAGAGGAGGAUGAGGUGAUGUGGAAGUUCGGAUUGACACUUUACUCCCUUGAUAGAUUAUACGAAGUUGUUGAGUUGCAUGGAAAUCAAACAGACGAGUGGACAAGCUUGAAGGAGUACAUCUUCCGUCUUGCAAAACCUGGUGUGGCCAUGGAAGAUAAGCUUGAUGCUCUUUCCUGUCUGAAGCGCACAUACAGAUUCUUAAGGUUAUUUUAG